This 480-nucleotide ribosomal RNA is filed under the name uncultured bacterium. RNAcentral's name for it is "partial 16S ribosomal RNA". It matches the Rfam family "Bacterial small subunit ribosomal RNA", at positions 28 to 507 of the family's 1533-position model. The record is from RNAcentral.
GAUGAACGCUAGCGGCAGGCCUAAUACAUGCAAGUCGAGGGGUAUGGGUUGCUUGCAACCCAGAGACCGGCGCACGGGUGCGUAACGCGUAUGCAAUCUACCUUAAUCAGGGGGAUAGCCCGGAGAAAUCCGGAUUAACACCGCAUAACAUUGAGUUGUGGCAUCACAGUUCAAUCAAAUAUUUAUAGGAUUAAGAUGAGCAUGCGUGACAUUAGUUAGUUGGUGAGGUAACGGCUCACCAAGACCACGAUGUCUAGGGGAUCUGAGAGGAUGACCCCCCACACUGGUACUGAGACACGGACCAGACUCCUACGGGAGGCAGCAGUAAGGAAUAUUGAUCAAUGGGCGCAAGCCUGAACCAGCCAUGCCGCGUGCAGGAAGACGGCCCUAUGGGUUGUAAACUGCUUUUGUACCGGAAGAAACCUUCUCUUGCGAGAGAAGCUGAACGUACGGUAAGAAUAAGGAUCGGCUAACUCCGUG